This 497-nucleotide ribosomal RNA is filed under the name uncultured bacterium. Its description in RNAcentral is "partial 16S ribosomal RNA". It matches the Rfam family "Bacterial small subunit ribosomal RNA", at positions 28 to 507 of the family's 1533-position model. The record is from RNAcentral.
GAUGAACGCUGGCGGCGUGCCUAAUACAUGCAAGUCGAGCGAACAGACGAGGAGCUUGCUCCUCUGACGUUAGCGGCGGACGGGUGAGUAACACGUGGAUAACCUACCUAUAAGACUGGGAUAACUUCGGGAAACCGGAGCUAAUACCGGAUAAUAUAUUGAACCGCAUGGUUCCAUAGUGAAAGACGGUUUUGCUGUCACUUAUAGAUGGAUCCGCGCCGCAUUAGCUAGUUGGUAAGGUAACGGCUUACCAAGGCGGCGAUGCGUAGCCGACCUGACAGGGUGAUCGGCCACACUGGAACUGAGACACGGUCCAGACUCCUACGGGAGGCAGCAGUAGGGAAUCUUCCGCAAUGGGCGAAAGCCGGACGGAGCAACGCCGCGUGAGUGAUGAAGGUCUUCGGAUCGUAAAACUCUGUUAUUAGGGAAGAACAAAUGUGUAAGUAACUAUGCACGUCUUGACGGUACCUAAUCAGAAAGCCACGGCUAACUACGUG